GCCAACUAGCUUAAUCAAGGUAAAAACUACAUAACUUGAGUUAGAGACUACUUUUGCAAAUUCUAUUACCUGAAACACAUCCAAAAUGUUUGAAAACAAUGGAUAGAACUGUAAAUACAACUACCUUUAGGGACAGCCCGCCGGGCACCCAGCUCGGCUUAAAAACUCGGUCCCAACUGCCGAGAGCUGUCGCCGAUUCGAUCGCACCAAGCGAUCUGAAACGGUUCGAUAAUCGUCUUUUUCAAACCGUGUCCGAUCGAAGUAGGGUUAGUCCCAUCUUAAAGCUCUUGACAUAUUGAGUUCAUUGGUGGUCUCGGAUUGCAGAUCUGACAGUUGGAUUGGCUGUAAUCGUCCUUAGAAGCUUCGAAAAUCACAUUUCCCAAUCUAACAAAUGCGCCGUUCAAUGGUCCUAAUUAUGGUCAAGAACAAGAGCCCAUGAAGAGAAGAACCCAAUGCAAGUGAAAACACACCGAUCGGAGGUCGGAUUUGCCAGAUAUCGUCUAGAGAAGUUUCAAUCGAGAGCUCUCUCUCUCUCCUAGCAUUUCCACUGCAGCCACCGCCAAAUCCAGUCAUCAUAUGUGUCAUAGAGGCCGCUGUAGGCAUCUCAACCUGCUUGAGGCUUCUUUGGCAUUGAAAAGUUGGCCAGAAAACAUGAACGAGAAGAAAAAGGAUAGGACAGAACAAAAGAGAAACACGGCAAGAACAAAAGGGAAACACGGCAACUAGAGUAAACUUUUCAAG
RNAcentral lists this unclassified non-coding RNA (741 nucleotides) under Hevea brasiliensis (rubber tree). The record is from RNAcentral. Lineage: Eukaryota; Viridiplantae; Streptophyta; Magnoliopsida; Malpighiales; Euphorbiaceae.